Molecule: long non-coding RNA, 884 nt
Organism: Capsella rubella
Lineage: Eukaryota; Viridiplantae; Streptophyta; Magnoliopsida; Brassicales; Brassicaceae
Exons: 4
Source: RefSeq, a predicted model, not a curated record
CGGGAACGAGUGUCAAGAGAAAGAUGGAACAAUAAAGGACUUAACUUCAUUUCUUCAAUCGACCACCAAAGCUAGUUCAAAACGAGAAACGGAGCUUGAAGUGAUUAUUCUCAGGAAGAAGACAAUAAUUAAGAAGCUCAAGAGAGAGGUGCUGGUGUUAGAAGAAAAGGUCACACAGCUCACUAUGCUCCGGAGGUCCUCCUAUUCAGCUACAGUCUCAAAUACCCAUGAAUUCCCAAUGAGAAUGGACAAUCUUCUUUAUGAUAUGGAUCUUCUUACAACCUUUUCAUCCUCUGAUUCGGAAGCUACUGUAGACACACCCCAGCGUGCUUUACCAAAGGCUCCAGUUGAUUUCAUGAGGGAGGAACUCUCAGCUGUAGGACUAAACCAUAACUCAGCGCCAGCUAAAUCCUCGACAUAACUUGUGAAAUCUGUAAAGCCGCCUUCGGCUGAGACAGGGUUCCUCUACUGGUGAUUCAAAGAAACCUAGAAAGCCAAUUCAGACCACUGCAAGAGAUUCCUCUGGUUCGCUUUAGAGAUGGGUUUAGUAAGUAUUGGUCUGCUGGUAAGUAUCAGUACCAGUUCUGAGAAAAAAGCCAUUGAAUAGAACCUGUUUAAAAUACGUCUGAAGUGCUGAACCAGAACCAGCUGUGUAGGUGCUUCAGAAUCUAAAGUUAUAUUGUAGCUAUAAGUAUCAAGUUAUUUGUUUUGAGAAUCUUGACUUCGUAUCAAAAGCUCUCAGUUGGGUUUAAUUGAGUUUUCUAAUCUUGAUAUCUAUAUGAAAUAUGGUUGACUCUCUCUCAGCUCUUUCAUCUUAUUUGUGUGUGAUAUCAAAGUACUUUACACAGUGAGAGUUGUUUAGAGAUGCAUAGGUCAGAGAUAUG